GCGUUGGCCAACGCUU
RNAcentral lists this unclassified non-coding RNA (16 nucleotides) under synthetic construct. The record is from RNAcentral.